GGAAGAGCAACAGAUAGGUCCCUGAACCUUGGAUAAGACACAGUAUGAAACCUCUAGCCUGUUCUAGAGGAACAGAUAGGUCCCUGAACCUUGGAUAAGACACAGUAUGAAACCUCUAGCCUGUUCUAGAGGAACAGAUAGGUCCCUGAACCUUGGAUAAGACACAGUAUGAAACCUCUAGCCUGUUCUAGAGGAACAGAUAGGUCCCUGAACCUUGGAUAAGACACAGUAUGAAACCUCUAGCCUGUUCUAGAGGAACAGAUAGGUCCCUGAACCUUGGAUAAGACACAGUAUGAAACCUCUAGCCUGUUCUAGAGGAACAGAUAGGUCCCUGAACCUUGGAUAAGACACAGUAUGAAACCUCUAGCCUGUUCUAGAGGAACAGAUAGGUCCCUGAACCUUGGAUAAGACACAG
Molecule: long non-coding RNA, 415 nt
Organism: Oncorhynchus keta (chum salmon)
Lineage: Eukaryota; Metazoa; Chordata; Actinopteri; Salmoniformes; Salmonidae
Exons: 4
Source: RefSeq, a predicted model, not a curated record